Molecule: long non-coding RNA, 1613 nt
Organism: Phasianus colchicus (ring-necked pheasant)
Lineage: Eukaryota; Metazoa; Chordata; Aves; Galliformes; Phasianidae
Source: Ensembl
GCUGUGUGCCUUGGGAUGCAAAGGGGUGCUGCUGCUCUACGUGCUCCCAGCACAGGGCAUGGGGAGGUGGUCCCCAGCUGGGAGGGAACCACAGUGCUUGUGGUUUUGGUGGUGCCCAGGAGGCUGAGGACCGUACACCUCAUUCAGCUGGUACUUCUGCUCCUAGCUUUCCCUAUUUAUUGAUGUUUUCCAGUCAGAGCUCUGAGUACUUUAUCCUUGUUUUAUUAUUUUUGGUGAUGAGGGUGUUUACGACUGCUCUGCUUCUCCUCAGCAUCCAGAGAGGAAACAGAGAGCUGCAGUUCAGCAGGGACAGAACGCUGACUGGGAGGAGAUGGGGUCCUUCCCACUUUGGUGAUGGGAGCAGACCUGACCCUCUGCUCCAGGCACCACAAGGAGCCCACAGCCAGCAUUCCUGCUCAGCCUCCGUUUUGUGAGCUUCUCAAAAGUUAAAGCAGGCCUGAAACACCUUUGAGUCAACAGGCCGAAAGAAGAGCUUGAAGACAUCGAGAGAAAUGGCCCCUACACCUGGCAUUGCUUUGAGGGGAGCUGCACCUCCAGUGUAUCCUUAGGGAUUGUCCCCAGAGAUGGUUCGUACAGACCAAGCUGGACAAAGGUGUCAUGCAGAGAGGCAGAAACACAGAGAGAUCCAGAGCUUUCAUGGAAGCCAGCUGCCCCAAGGCCUGAUCCACAGCAGUGCUCAGCCCCCAGCACGUGGGGAUGGAAGGUCCACUGCAACUGGAGGGACUCCAACAGCCCCUGAGUGCCUGUUCUUGCCAGAGCCCGUGUACUCAAUCAAGGCUUUGGGAAUGGUGCUGCUGGGGAAUGCUGUGCUCUCAGAGAAGGCAGAACCUGCCUGGAGUCUUUCUUCCUGCACCAUGUGUCCGAGGGCUCUUCUGGGCUGAAAAACUGGGGGGAUUCUGUGUGGUCCCCCCGAUCUGUGCUGAAGUUUUUAAACCCAUUGCAAUGCUGCUUUCAGCCACCAGAUGUGCGCAGUUGAGCCGCGUUGGCUCCCAGCCUGGAAGUGAGCCGUGCACAAAGAAGCUUCUCAGGAAGAUGAUAAACAUCCUAAGAGCCACUGUGGCUUCUGGAGACACUUACAUCAGUGUCUUUUCCUUUAAAUAUCCUGAGCUGAAGCGCCCUUUGCUUGUGAUCUCGUGCAUUGCCCACACAGCCGAAAAUAGGGAGAAAGCUGUGUGGAACUGUCGAGAAGGAGCAGAGGAAGCGUGGAAGAGAAGAGGAUACUGCGUGCAAAGCUGGCAAAGAGGAGGGGAGGAGUGCAGGAGGAGAGCAGCUGGGGGAGGUGAAUGCAGCUAUAGGAUGCAGUUGGGUGUCUGAGACAGCAGAAGAGUUGGGCUGAAUGGAAAGCUAUGCCAGUGACGUGCAGAAAGUAAUAAGAGUGGUGUUGGAUUACUGGGGAUUGGGGAUACCACGGGUAUGGCUCUGCUUUGCUGGCAGGAUGGAUCCCAAGAGCAGCAACUGCCUGCAGAGCUCUGAGGUGCUGGGCAUCACUGUAUGCCCACCUCCAUCCACGUGCUCUGAUAGCACUGGCCAAACCUGAGGGCCUUCUGAAGUAGCCCCUCACCUAAAUAAAGUGCAGCAAUUCAGAUGAUGCA